RNAcentral lists this ribosomal RNA (442 nucleotides) under uncultured bacterium. RNAcentral's name for it is "partial 16S ribosomal RNA". It matches the Rfam family "Bacterial small subunit ribosomal RNA", at positions 338 to 795 of the family's 1533-position model. The record is from RNAcentral.
CCUACGGGGGGCAGCAGUAGGGAAUCUUUCACAAUGGGCGAAAGCCUGAUGGAGCAACGCCGCGUGCAGGAUGAAGGCCUUCGGGUUGUAAACUGCUUUUAUAAGCGAGAAAUAUGAUGGCAACUUAUGAAUAAGGAUCGGCUAACUACGUGCCAGCAGCCGCGGUCAUACGUAGGAUCCGAGCAUUAUCCGGAGUGACUGGGUGUAAAGAGUUGCGUAGGUGGCAUAAUAAGUAGCUAGUGAAAUCUGGUGGCUCAACCAUUCAGACUCUUAGCUAAACUGUUAAGCUCGAGACCGUUAGGGGUAACUGGAAUUUCUAGUGUAGGAGUGAAAUGCGUAGAUAUUAGAAGGAACACCAAUAGCGUAGGCAGGUUACUGGGACGGUUCUGACACUAAGGCACGAAAGCGUAGGGAGCAAACGGGAUUAGAUACCCCAGUAGUC